CAUCAUUGACCAGUGUUUUACUCUUGCAGCACCUCUCAACAGCUGAAGUAGUUAGAUGUGUUUAGUACUUUCCUGCCUAUUCAUUUUGUUUCUGCCACUUUUAAGUCCCACGAAGGAGGCUCUGCCUGUCUGAUUCACCAUUCUGUCCCCAGUGACUAGAAUAUAACUGGCCCAGGUGCUCAAUCCACCUGCUGAAUGAAUAUUUGGGGCAAAAUGUGAUCUAGCCACAGCAUUAGAGUGAGACUAAGCUGCAAUGAUGGGUUUGUGUCCUGGCUCCAUCUCUUCCUAGCUGUGUGACCUCAGCACAGUUCCCAGCCAGUCCUGUGUGGAAAGAGGACAGAAGAGGAAUUGAGGAAUGCAGAUUGUUGUGGGUGGUGACGGAGGCAAGGUGAGUCUCUUACAAAGUUCGACUUUUGCUUUUGCUUUUUGCAGUGGUUAGGUACUUGUUAGUUCCUUUACUCAAUCAACAACAAUUGCUGAGGGUUUGGUGGGCAGGUCCUGUUUAGGAGAGAAGCAGCCCCUAGAAGUGGCUUUCCUUUCCCCCUCCUCUUCCCCUCAUCUGGACCAAUGCACCCGGCUCAAGUGCAGCUUUAGGCUUUGGUUUCCAUGUGUAGUGACCUCUCAGUUCCUUCUCAAAAUAAGAGCUACUGGAUUAGAAACACAGCCAGCUCCCAAUGCAAGAUAAAUCCUAAUCGACACUGAGAAACUGUGACCUUGUUAACUGUAAGACUACCAGGCAAAUGUUCAGGUAUGGAUGUGAGCAAGAGAGGAACAGGAUGCCUCUGCCUGCAAGUUGCUGAGCUAAGAUGUAGAUCUACAUUGAAGACUCGUUUGGUGAAUGGCUGCUGCACACCUGGUGGUGUACACCUAGACUUUCACUUUUUAAUUUCAGAAAUUUAAUGAUAUUCUUCUGAGUUCAGUAGGCACCAGUAUUCCCUGUAACUCCAAAUCCUGCUUAUCCUUGGAACUCAUGUCCUAUCCCUGUGUCCUCCCAGAUGCAGGUAAGUUGUCCCCUUGUAUUCCCUCAGCACCAUAGUGUCACCUUUCCUGUGAUCAAAAGGCAGCCUGGAAUUGCCUCUGCAGUUACGUGACACUGAUGCUUUUCCAUACAGCUGACAAAUUCUCCUGCAGACCUGAGUGCCUUACCACCUGGUACAAACUCCCUUCCAGAUCCUUCUGUCCCCACCCUCCUCAUCCUAUGAGACUGUUAUUAUUUUAUUAUUUACCCCAUUUUAAAGUGAUAAAUUUGAGAUAUAGAGGAUUAAGAAACAUGUUCAAUUUAUUUUUAUUUUUAUUUUUUUAGUGUCAGAGGCAAGAUUUGCACCUGGGUGUCUAUGGCUAUCACACUUUCUUUCCAUUCUCUGACCCUGAUUCCAAAAUAAGGAAAAGAAAACAUUUAAUUAGUUGUUUAAAACAACAUGCAAACAUGACCUUUGCAUUACUCCUAAUCUCUCCAUGAUGGGAUGUUUACAAAGAACGUUUUCGACUUUCCAGGAAGAAUUCAGGGACCCUGGAGGAGACACUGGCUCCGUUCAUCCCCCAACACAGCGUGCCCACAUCUGCCUCCAGUGGGGAGAAGCAAGAACGAGGGAGGAGAAUGCACAGAGGCAGAGGCAGGCAGGACCCUGAAACUCGCCUUAGCUGUUGGCAGUUCUAGAACACGACAUCCCCUGUUCACCUGCUAGAGGAACAGAAGGGGGACCUGACAUCACCUCCAGAGCCACCUAACAUGCAGCGGGCACCUCUUAUUUGCCUGUUAGCCCCUCAUUCUUUCUUUCCCCACCCUCUGAGGAAACAGUAUUUUUUCCUGGUAAUUUCUUUCUUUGCUUUAACUUUAUCGUUUUCAUAGAAAUUUCUGUUUCCUUCUGUGACCCUUGUACUGCUCCCUCUGCCCCCGCCACAGGCCAAGAGAUUGGCCCAGGAGGAGCACUAGACCCACCAUAGUCUCUCUGUGGCCUCGCUCUUGGAUUUUUAAGCUCGAAGUCUAAAGCUGUCUUUCUCCUGGUACGGAGAAGAGUAGAAGAAAAAGAUCAACAAUCAGCUUUCCGCAGGAUGGAAUCUGUGCACCUGCCUGGGUCUGAUCCCGGGUUUUCUCUUUACCAGCAGUGUCCUGGACAUGUCAUUACACCUCUCUGUGCCCCGGUUUCUUUAUCCAUAAAAUAGCAUUGCUCUAGCCUUCAAUCAGUUAAUAAUGUAAAGUGCACUGGUCACUGGUGUGCACACCCUGGGCACUCUAUAAAUGUUCAUGGCGCUACAGCAGCUGCAGCAACAGAAGCAGUCAUGGAACUGGGUAGUAUUAUUUUUUUUUUUUGUGGAAAGACAAGGGUGCCAGGGAGCGAGAGAAUCCUGGUGGUGCUCAUGUUUCUUGGUUCAAGUUCAUCUCUAAGUUCUGCUGCAAAUCCCUCCAUCUUGGAGCUUGAUCUUUUAAACUUGCUUAGAUCCUGUGAGUUAAUCUGUGCCCUUUUCUCUUAUCUGGCUGAGCUCUUUCUGAAACUUGCCACCAAAACUCCAAUAACUAAAUGUAUUGAGUACUCUGUACGUUUAAUAUAAAUGCAUUAAUCAUGAAAGAAAUAUCAUAAAUACUCCUGACUGUUAAUUAGAAAUAACAAAGUUUAACAUUUGGACAGUUUUGCUUUGGAUUUACUAGUAAUUAUUAUGACAUAAAAUGCGACAGAUACCCUUGGAGCCCCCUUGGCAUUCCUCAGCCCCGCCUGCCUUCCUGCUUUCCCAGAGAAAACUACUGUCUUGGUGAGCAGCCUUCAUUCCCACAAUUUAUACAUUUACUGCACACACACGUGUAUCAGUAGGUAAUAUAAGGUCUUGAAAUGCAGUAGCUUUGUACUAUGCAGAGCUUAACAUUCUGCAGUUUGCUUUAGCAAUCAACACAUGAAUAAGUCCAGUUUUUCCACUGUAAGUGUGGCAUUUUUUUAUUGUUAUUAAAUAUGACACAAUUUAUCUGUUUCUCUCCUGAUGAACACAGAGGUAUUUUCUCUUACUUAAACACUUUUUUUUUUCUCACAAGUGAUUAGCAUGUUUGUGCAUUUCUUCUUGGGUCCGUGUGAGCAUUGCACUAGAACACACCCUCUAGAGAAGAGGAGUUACAGCUGAUAAGCUUGGGCAUCUUUAUCCUUACCGCCACAUCACCCAAAUCCACACCAUGAGCAGUGCAUGCAGGGUCCCAACAACAUUUGGUAUUGUCACUUACAAAGAACACCAAUGUUUUGGGUGUAUAAUGACAUUUUUUAGUUGUUUCAAUGACAUCUCCUGGAUAAAUGGAAAAGUUGAGGAACUUCUCAUGUGUUUCUUGGUCAUUCAUAUUUUCUUUGCAAAGAAUCAGCACAUGUGACUUUUGCUAAUUUUCCAUGGCAUUUUUUGACCCUUCCUUAUGGAACACUAAGAAUUCUUAUAUUCUGUUUCUAAUCACUAGUCAACUAGAUGACUUCUCCAAGUCUGAAGCUUGUCUUUCACAUUUUUAUGAUGUCUAUGAUUUUAUGAAAAAUUGUAGUCAAAAUUCACAAAAUUGUUUUCUCUAUGGUGCCUUUUGAUGUCUUUUUCAAGAAAUUCUGAAUUACUGAAUUGUGAAUAUAUUCUUCUGUAUUUACUUCUUGUUAAAGUUAUAAUCUUGAUUUUUAUGUGUUAUGUAUUUAUUAAACCUAGAAUUUGUUUUUCUGAGGUGUAAUUUCUUCCUAUAUGCUGAUGAUUUGUAGUAGCACAUUGUGAUAAAGUUUUCCUUUAUUCCUCCAGUUCCUCCAUUGUGAUAUCACCCUUGUUAUUAUUGAGUGUCUCUGUCCUUGACACCCCAUCCCAUUAAUUCCAUGUUUUAUCUACUUAAUUCUGGGUCAUUCUUUAUUGCUAUUGCUUAAGAAUUGUAUCUCAUGGGAAUGUACCCUUAGUAGUUUCUAAAUUUAUCUAUAAAUUCUUUGCCAUUCAUUGCCCAGUGGGGCCUAAUUCCCUUCUCCUUGAUUCUGGGAAGGUUUCAGGGACGAUUUCUAACUAAUGUGACAGAAAUGAUCCCAUGACUUCCAAUACCAAGUCCUAACAAGUGAUACAGCUUCUGGUAGGUGCUCUCCUGGGAUAUUUUCUUUCAGAACUCAGCCACCAUGCUGUGAGGAAGCCCAACAGCCAUCAGAGGGCUCAAUCAUGGAGGUGCAGCCAAAAACCCAGCUGUGGUCCCAGCCAGCAGUCAGCAUCAGCCACUGCAGUGGGGAGAUCUGGCUUCAGGUGACUCUAGUCCUGAGUGACAUCCCUAGCAUCCCCUGGAAGCAGAAGUGAGUCUUCCACUGUGAACUGCUCUGUGUGGAUUUAUGAACAAAAUAAAUCACUGUUGUUAAGCAACUUAGAUUUGAAGUGUUUUAUCA
Molecule: long non-coding RNA, 4358 nt
Filed under: Marmota monax (woodchuck)
Lineage: Eukaryota; Metazoa; Chordata; Mammalia; Rodentia; Sciuridae
Source: RNAcentral